RNAcentral lists this long non-coding RNA (213 nucleotides) under Elaeis guineensis (African oil palm). Its description in RNAcentral is "long non-coding RNA (EGUI_LNC064891)". Lineage: Eukaryota; Viridiplantae; Streptophyta; Magnoliopsida; Arecales; Arecaceae. The record is from RNAcentral.
UCCAUCAACUCUAUACUAGAGUCCAUAGCUCAACUGAAAGAAGAAAAAAUUGUAAGGACAGUAUUGAGCAAUCUUGACAUGCCUACUCUAGGCGUAUCUUUAUUUCUUUAGACUCUCCAUGUAUUUAUCUCUGAACUCUUUCAAGGUUCUUUUGUUAUCAAUACUUUGACCAAUUCAGAUAAAAUGCCAUGAUGAUCUUUCAUAUGGUAGUUU